RNAcentral lists this ribosomal RNA (1438 nucleotides) under metagenome. RNAcentral's name for it is "bacterial LSU rRNA". It matches the Rfam family "Bacterial large subunit ribosomal RNA", at positions 1472 to 2925 of the family's 2925-position model. The record is from RNAcentral.
ACACAGUAGGAUAAGCUAACCGUACUGUUGGUUAUGUACGGCUAAGCAUUGAGGCAGUCUAAAUAGGCAAAUCCGUUUGGACAAUGCUAGGAUGUGAUGGGGAAACCCUCCGGGGCGAAGUAGCUGAUUUCACACUGUCAAGAAAAGCUUCUAUCGAGUUUAAAGGCGCCCGUACCGUAAACCGACACAGGUGGGUGAGGAGAGUAUCCUAAGGCCAGCGAGAGAACUAUUGUUAAGGAACUCGGCAAAAUGACCCCGUAACUUAGGGAGAAGGGGUGCCUGUCUAUGACAGGCCGCAGAGAAUAGGCCCAAGCGACUGUUUACCAAAAACACAGGUUUCUGCUAAGUCGCAAGACGAUGUAUAGGAGCUGACGCCUGCCCGGUGCUGGAAGGUUAAGGGGAUCUGUUAGAGCAAUCGAAGCAGUGAACUUAAGCCCCAGUAAACGGCGGCCGUAACGAUAACGGUCCUAAGGUAGCGAAAUUCCUUGUCGGGUAAGUUCCGACCCGCACGAAAGGCGUAACGAUUUGGGCACUGUCUCAACAAUAGACUCGGUGAAAUUGUAAUCCCGGUGAAGAUGCCGGGUACCUGCGACAGGACGGAAAGACCCCAUGGAGCUUUACUGUAGCUUGACGUUGGGUCUUGGUACUACAUGUACAGGAUAGGUGGGAGACUAUGAAGCAUGGACGCCAGUCUGUGUGGAGUCAUCCUUGGGAUACCACCCUUGUAGUACUGGGAUCCUAACCAUAGGCCUUGAAUCAGGUCUUGGAACACCGUCAGGUGGGCAGUUUGACUGGGGCGGUCGCCUCCUAAAAAGUAACGGAGGCGCUCAAAGGUUUCCUCAGCACGGUCGGAAAUCGUGCGAAGAGUGUAAAGGCAAAAGGAAGCUUGAUUGCAAGACAUACAGGUCGAGCAAGGACGAAAGUCGGACUUAGUGAUCCGGUGGUACCGCAUGGAAGGGCCAUCGCUCAACGGAUAAAAGCUACCCUGGGGAUAACAGGCUUAUCUCCCCCAAGAGUCCACAUCGACGGGGAGGUUUGGCACCUCGAUGUCGGCUCAUCACAUCCUGGGGCUGUAGUAGGUCCCAAGGGUUGGGCUGUUCGCCCAUUAAAGUGGUACGCGAGCUGGGUUCAGAACGUCGUGAGACAGUUCGGUCCCUAUCCGUCGCAGGCGUAGGAAAUUUGAGAAGACCUGUCCUUAGUACGAGAGGACCGGGAUGGACGUACCUCUGGUGUACCAGUUGUUCUGCCAAGGGCAUGGCUGGGUAGCUAUGUACGGAAUGGAUAAGCGCUGAAAGCAUCUAAGCGCGAAGCCAACUUCAAGAUAAGAUUUCCCACCGUAAGGGUAAGACCCCAGGAAGACUACCUGGUUGAUAGGUCGAAGGUGUAAGUGCAGUAAUGUAUUUAGCUUAUCGAUACUAAUAGGUCGAGGACUUGACCU